GGCCUUGUAGUCUAGAGGUACGAUACUUGCUUUGGGUGUCUGAAAUGCAAGUGGCCUGGGUUCGAUUCCCAGCAAGGCCC
Molecule: transfer RNA, 80 nt
Organism: Pisolithus tinctorius Marx 270
Lineage: Eukaryota; Fungi; Basidiomycota; Agaricomycetes; Boletales; Pisolithaceae
Rfam family: tRNA
About the family: Transfer RNA (tRNA) molecules are approximately 80 nucleotides in length.
Source: Rfam